This 1697-nucleotide long non-coding RNA is filed under the name Mytilus galloprovincialis (Mediterranean mussel). Lineage: Eukaryota; Metazoa; Mollusca; Bivalvia; Mytilida; Mytilidae. The record is from RNAcentral.
CUGUUAUAUUUUUAUUUACAAUCUGUACAGUUUGAGGUAAAUUACAAUCACAUUACAAAUGUUAUAUAAAAUGUAAAACUAUAAGUUCUUGUAAACUGGCCAUCAACAAACAUUACCUUUUUGAUUUUAAAAUACUCUGGAUUUAUAAAUAUUGUGGGAUACAAAUUUUCGUUGAAUUUGUGGGUACAAUUGAAUCUAAAUUUAACUAAGUACGCAUUUUCUAAAGCUUGAAUGAAAAGUUUCGCAAAAACAAAAUCUAAUAUCAAAAGAAACAAUACAUGCUUUCUUCAAUCCACGGAAAUAGAGUUACACAUAAACUAAAAUAAAAUAAAAUAGGUUAAAGUGGAGAGAUAAUGACUGUCAUUAGUAUUAAAUGAGUCGAUAAUGAAUGUUUUGUUACACCAUGAAAACUAGUAGUCUCUAGAUCUAUGAAAGUCUUUUUCUUAAAAAGAUAUACAACAAGCAGUCAUUGUUUUCACUCCCAAUUUUUCAUUCAAAUAUUCAACUGUAAAUAUGGAUGACUUACUUAUUUCGGUAUACUUCUUUAAAAAGAAAUAUAACCUUAUCAACAGGUGCUAAUUAGUAGUUGCAGAUUUUUAAGUUGCAGAUAGGUGGUAGGAUUGCACAAGAAAUUACUUUGGUCUAUCAUACACCAAAGUGACCAAUUUAAGCAUUGCAUUUAAACUUCAAUCUCAUCAGCAAUAAAGGUCGUUUCGCUUCAACAAAUAUCCUAUCCAUCUUUUUUGUUUUUAUGUGCAUCUUUGAACAUGGCAUACUUCUUAUAUUGUUAAUUUCACCCUCUAAAGUGUAAUGCUGUUAUCUAUGUCUUAUCACAUGUCUAGCUGUACUAAAAAAUAGGGGAGAAUGUUACAGAUAGGUGCAACACAAGACAUUGUAUGUACAUGUAGCAAACAAAAUCCUGUAAUUUUAUUUUGUUUACUGAGUGUUUCUUCAGUCCAAAACUAUCACACUUACAUGAAAUUUUAUACAAAAAACAGAACUCUUACAUAAAUAUAACAAAAAUGUAAAAUCAUUUUACUUAAGGAUCAUGUGGACCCUUUGGCUAAAAUGGCUGCAUUUUCACCUCAAAAUUUACUGAGUACAGACAAACCUGGGCAUCUGGAAAAGUUUUAAGGUAUAGCACACCCUAGAUAAUUGAAUUCAAAUGCAUUGUAUGAUUUAGAAAAUUCAUAACUUAACUGGAUUUUGCAGUCACUUUUGUUCGUCCUUGCAGAAGAUAACAUCAACAAACAAACAUUUUAGCCAAAGGGUCCACAUGAACCUUAAAAGUGAUUUCAAACUUAUCACAGCUCUAAUAAUAAAAAAAUAUUUACAACAAACACAGCACUAUUAUAAACAACAUUUGCAUAUCACUGCAUGGAUAAGCUUUCUAAACUCUUUUUUUUUAAAUUAUCAUUUGUGAAUUGGUCCUAAGUAUUUUACUUAUUUUCUUCACUUUUAAAAGCUGGGCCUACUUUCUUAUCUCUCUUAUGAAUUUCAAUGAAUGCAUUUUAAUAUCCAUAUUCUUGAAAAUUUACAAUAACAUGGCUUUAAUAUGAAGACUAUAAGCAUAAACUACAACUAAAUAUAUUUCAGAACAUCAUUGUAAAAUUGAUAAUGGAAUGACCUAAGUUUUAAGACUAAAACACAACUUUAGACCAACAAUAUCAUCAAUUUUAUCCUAAUUCUCACUUAGU